AUUGAACGCUGGCGGCAGGCCUAACACAUGCAAGUCGAGCGGUAGAGAGGUGCUUGCAUCUCUUGAGAGCGGCGGACGGGUGAGUAAUGCCUAGGAAUCUGCCUAGUGGUGGGGGAUAACGUUCGGAAACGGACGCUAAUACCGCAUACGUCCUACGGGAGAAAGCGGGGGAUCUUCGGACCUCGCGCCAUUAGAUGAGCCUAGGUCGGAUUAGCUAGUUGGUGAGGUAAUGGCUCACCAAGGCGACGAUCCGUAACUGGUCUGAGAGGAUGAUCAGUCACACUGGAACUGAGACACGGUCCAGACUCCUACGGGAGGCAGCAGUGGGGAAUAUUGGACAAUGGCGCAAGCCUGAUCCAGCAAUGCCGCGUGCAGGAUGAAG
This 382-nucleotide ribosomal RNA is filed under the name uncultured bacterium. RNAcentral's name for it is "bacterial SSU rRNA". It matches the Rfam family "Bacterial small subunit ribosomal RNA", at positions 30 to 413 of the family's 1533-position model. The record is from RNAcentral.